RNAcentral lists this ribosomal RNA (253 nucleotides) under uncultured bacterium. RNAcentral's name for it is "partial 16S ribosomal RNA". It matches the Rfam family "Bacterial small subunit ribosomal RNA", at positions 524 to 776 of the family's 1533-position model. The record is from RNAcentral.
UACGUAGGGUCCGAGCGUUGUCCGGAAUUAUUGGGCGUAAAGAGCUCGUAGGCGGUCUGUCGCGUCGGCUGUGAAAACCUGGGGCUCAACUCCAGGCCUGCAGUCGAUACGGGCAGGCUGGAGUUCGGUAGGGGAGACUGGAAUUCCUGGUGUAGCGGUGAAAUGCGCAGAUAUCAGGAGGAACACCGGUGGCGAAGGCGGGUCUCUGGGCCGAUACUGACGCUGAGGAGCGAAAGCGUGGGGAGCGAACAGG